GCCAAAUAACUACGAGUAAAAACUUAAAAUUUAAAAGACUUGACGGUACCUCACAACACCCUAGAGGAGCCUGUCCAAUAACCGAUACUCCACGAUCAACCCAACCCCAACUCGCCAAACAGUCUAUAUACCGCCGUCGCCAGCCUACCUUAUGAAAGAAACAAAGUAAGCAAAAUAGCCACACACUAAAACGACAGGUCGAGGUGUAACUUAUGUAGGGGACAAAGAUGGGCUACAUUUUCUAACACAGAAAAUACGAAUAAACUAUGAAAAAGAAACUGAAGGCGGAUUUAGCAGUAUACAAAGGACAUAAUACUUAAUAGAAACUAAUGCAAUGAGGUGCGUACACACCGCCCGUCAUCCCUGUAA
Molecule: ribosomal RNA, 369 nt
Filed under: Oxybelis vittatus
Lineage: Eukaryota; Metazoa; Chordata; Lepidosauria; Squamata; Colubridae
Description: partial 12S ribosomal RNA
Source: RNAcentral